RNAcentral lists this ribosomal RNA (474 nucleotides) under uncultured bacterium. RNAcentral's name for it is "SSU rRNA". It matches the Rfam family "Bacterial small subunit ribosomal RNA", at positions 26 to 521 of the family's 1533-position model. The record is from RNAcentral.
AGGAUGAACGCUGGCGGCGUGCCUAACACAUGCAAGUCGAACGUCCUGUCUCGCAAGAGGCAGGGAGUGGCGGACGGGUGAGUACCACGUGGGUCAUCUACCGUGAGGUGAGGAAUACCGGCGAGAAAUCGCCGACAAGACCGCAUAGGCUCGAUGCAAGUCGAGCAAAGCUCUUUCGAGAGAGGGAGCGCCACACGAGGAGCCUGCGCCCGAUUAGCUAGCUGGUGGAGUAACGGUUCACCAGGGCGACGAUCGGUAGCUGGUCUGAGAGGACGAUCAGCCACACUGGGAUUGAGAACGGCCCAGACUCCUACGGGGGGCAGCAGUGAGGAAUUUUCGUCAAUGGGGGCAACCCUGAACGAGCAACGCCGCGUGCAGGAAGAAGGUUUUCGGAUCGUAAACUGCUUUUCUCGGGGAAGAGAAUGGACGGUACCGAGGAAUCAGCCCGGCUAACUACGCGCCAGCAGCCGCGGU